Molecule: ribosomal RNA, 656 nt
Filed under: uncultured bacterium
Lineage: Bacteria
Description: bacterial SSU rRNA
Rfam family: Bacterial small subunit ribosomal RNA
Source: RNAcentral
AUAUGCCUUUGAGUGGGGGACAACAGUUGGAAACGACUGCUAAUACCGCAUAACGUCUACGGACCAAAGGGGGGGCUCUUCGGACCUCUCGCUCAUAGAUUAGCCCAAGUGAGAUUAGCUAGUAGGUAAGGUAAAGGCUUACCUAGGCGACGAUCUCUAGCUGGUUUGAGAGGAUGAUCAGCCACACUGGGACUGAGACACGGCCCAGACUCCUACGGGAGGCAGCAGUGGGGAAUAUUGCACAAUGGGGGAAACCCUGAUGCAGCCAUGCCGCGUGUGUGAAGAAGGCCUUCGGGUUGUAAAGCACUUUCAGUUGUGAGGAAAGGGAUGUAGUUAAUAACUGCAUUCUGUGACGUUAGCGACAGAAGAAGGACCGGCUAACUCCGUGCCAGCAGCCGCGGUAAUACGGAGGGUCCGAGCGUUAAUCGGAAUUACUGGGCGUAAAGCGUGCGUAGGCGGUUUAUUAAGCGAGAUGUGAAAUCCCGGGGCUCAACCUCGGAACUGCAUUUCGAACUGGUAAACUAGAGUAUUGUAGAGGGUGGUGGAAUUUCCAGUGUAGCGGUGAAAUGCGUAGAGAUUGGAAGGAACAUCAGUGGCGAAGGCGGCCACCUGGACAAAUACUGACGCUGAGGUACGAAAGCGUGGGGAGCAAACAG